This 497-nucleotide ribosomal RNA is filed under the name uncultured bacterium. Its description in RNAcentral is "partial 16S ribosomal RNA". It matches the Rfam family "Bacterial small subunit ribosomal RNA", at positions 28 to 507 of the family's 1533-position model. The record is from RNAcentral.
GAUGGACGCUGGCGGCGUGCCUAAUACAUGCAAGUCGAGCGAACGGACGAGAAGCUUGCUUCUCUGAUGUUAGCGGCGGACGGGUGAGUAACACGUGGAUAACCUACCUAUAAGACUGGGAUAACUUCGGGAAACCGGAGCUAAUACCGGAUAAUAUUUUGAACCGCAUGGUCCAAAAGUGAAAGACGGUCUUGCUGUCACUUAUAGAUGGAUCCGCGCUGCAUUAGCUAGUUGGUAAGGUAACGGCUUACCAAGGCAACGAUGCAUAGCCGACCUGAGAGGGUGAUCGGCCACACUGGAACUGAGACACGGUCCAGACUCCUACGGGAGGCAGCAGUAGGGAAUCUUCCGCAAUGGGCGAAAGCCUGACGGAGCAACGCCGCGUGAGUGAUGAAGGUCUUCGGAUCGUAAAACUCUGUUAUUAGGGAAGAACAUAUGUGUAAGUAACUGUGCACAUCUUGACGGUACCUAAUCAGAAAGCCACGGCUAACUACGUG